This 421-nucleotide ribosomal RNA is filed under the name uncultured bacterium. RNAcentral's name for it is "bacterial SSU rRNA". It matches the Rfam family "Bacterial small subunit ribosomal RNA", at positions 358 to 796 of the family's 1533-position model. The record is from RNAcentral.
GGAAUAUUGGACAAUGGGCGCAAGCCUGAUCCAGCCAUGCCGCGUGAGUGAUGAAGGCCCUAGGGUUGUAAAGCUCUUUCGCCGGUGAAGAUAAUGACUGUAGCCGGUAAAGAAGCCCCGGCUAACUUCGUGCCAGCAGCCGCGGUAAUACGAAGGGGGCUAGCGUUGUUCGGAAUUACUGGGCGUAAAGCGCACGUAGGCGGACAUUUAAGUCAGGGGUGAAAUCCCGGAGCUCAACUCCGGAACUGCCUUUGAUACUGGGUGUCUCGAGUAUGGAAGAGGUAAGUGGAAUUGCGAGUGUAGAGGUGAAAUUCGUAGAUAUUCGCAGGAACACCAGUGGCGAAGGCGGCUUACUGGUCCAUUACUGACGCUGAGGUGCGAAAGCGUGGGGAGCAAACAGGAUUAGAAACCCCAGUAGUCC